Molecule: ribosomal RNA, 253 nt
Filed under: uncultured bacterium
Lineage: Bacteria
Description: partial 16S ribosomal RNA
Rfam family: Bacterial small subunit ribosomal RNA
Source: RNAcentral
GACGUAGGGGGCCAGCGUUGUUCGGAAUUACUGGGUGUAAAGGGUUCGUAGGCGGUGCGGCAAGUUGGGAGUGAAAUCUCUGGGCUUAACCCAAAGGCUGCUUCCAAAACUGCUGUGCUUGAGUGUGGGAGAGGCGCGUGGAAUUGCAGGUGUAGCGGUGAAAUGCGUAGAUAUCUGCAGGAGCACCCGUGGCGAAAGCGGCGCGCUGGACCACUACUGACGCUGAGGAACGAAAGCUAGGGGAGCAAACAGG